GAGAGGUAUGGCUAGGUUUUUAAAAACUGAGUUUAGUCAAACAUAAAAUACUUCAUCACACGGGUUCUAUUUGAAGAAUCACUUGUAUGGGCUGCAAGCUGAAGAAGCCUACUAAGCAUAUUAUAUCUUACGAUAUAUUGUAUUUUCCUUAAGUGCAUCUUACCUUGUGGUGUUAUGUAUUUUUACGACUGACUUUACGAUGUUUCGUGUUUUACUUAAGUACUAUGUACCUUAUAGUUUCCUUUAUUUGAUUUAAG
Molecule: long non-coding RNA, 257 nt
Filed under: Lathyrus oleraceus (garden pea)
Lineage: Eukaryota; Viridiplantae; Streptophyta; Magnoliopsida; Fabales; Fabaceae
Description: Pisum sativum (pea) long non-coding RNA (PSAT_LNC028623)
Source: RNAcentral